AGAAUCAACGCUGGCGGCGUGCCUAACACAUGCAAGUCGAACGAGAAAGUGGAGCAAUCCAUGAGUAAAGUGGCGACCGGGUGAGUAACACGUGACUAACCUACCUUCAAGUGGGGGAUAACCUCGGGAAACCGGGGCUAAUACCGCAUAACAUCUUUGGAGUGGAAAUUCUGGAGAUCAAAGGAGCAAUUCGCUGGAAGAGGGGGUCGCGGCUGAUUAGCUAGUUGGCGGGUAAUGGCCCACCAAGGCUUUGAUCGGUA
RNAcentral lists this ribosomal RNA (260 nucleotides) under uncultured bacterium. Its description in RNAcentral is "partial small subunit ribosomal RNA". It matches the Rfam family "Bacterial small subunit ribosomal RNA", at positions 26 to 285 of the family's 1533-position model. The record is from RNAcentral.